This 519-nucleotide small RNA is filed under the name uncultured Glomus. RNAcentral's name for it is "SSU rRNA". It matches the Rfam family "Eukaryotic small subunit ribosomal RNA", at positions 569 to 1087 of the family's 1831-position model. The record is from RNAcentral. Lineage: Eukaryota; Fungi; Glomeromycota; Glomeromycetes; Glomerales; Glomeraceae.
AGCAGCCGCGGUAAUUCCAGCUCCAAUAGCGUAUAUUAAAGUUGUUGCAGUUAAAAAGCUCGUAGUCGAAUUUCGGGAUCAAUAUUUCGGUCAUGCCGUUGGUAUGCACUGUUAUCAUUGAUUUCUCACCUUCUAAAGAACCGUAAUGCCAUUAAUUUGGUGUUACGGGGAAUUAGGACUGUUACCUUGAAAAAAUUAGAGUGUUUAAAGCAGGCUCACGCUUGAAUACAUUAGCAUGGAAUAAUGAAAUAGGACAUCCGAUUCUAUUUUGUUGGUUUCUAGGAUCGAUGUAAUGAUUAAUAGGGAUAGUUGGGGGCAUUAGUAUUCAAUUGUCAGAGGUGAAAUUCUUGGAUUUAUUGAAGACUAACUACUGCGGAAGCAUUUGCCAAGGAUGUUUUCAUUAAUCAAGAACGAAAGUUAGGGGAUCGAAGACGAUCAGAUACCGUCGUAGUCUUAACCAUAAACUAUGCCGACUAGGGAUCGGAUGAUGUUAAUUUUUUAAUGACUCAUUCGGCGUAC